AGAUAGAAGCCGUUUAGUUUUAAUUAAAUAUUGUACAUAGUAGGUAAUAUCCAGAAAUGUGUAGGUAAGGUCCAGAAAUGUAAGAACAUUUCUGGAAUUUGUUUUGCUUGCGUCUUAUUAGGGUGUGUAAUUCGAAAACUGUACAAUAUGUUCAAAAAUUGUUUCGUUCCAACAUGCAAAAAUAUUACGGAAAAUAAUCCGAAUAAAAGAAGACAUGCGAGAAAGAUGGUUUCACGAAGUAAACACAGAGUAUUUUAAGGCUUACACAAUGUAUUGAUGUGAAGAUCACUUCGAUCCACAGAGAGAUUUUAAAAACUACUAUGUGUAAAUUGAUGAACGAUGAGCCGAUGUUUAAGUGUUGCAUGGUGCAAGCCAAAACAAAGAUCUAGUUCGACUGACGCUUCAUAGGUUAGUAAAUUAUUUUCUUUAAAAAAGCGAUUGAAAUCAUUCCAAUUCAAAAGUAAAACUA
Long non-coding RNA from Plodia interpunctella (Indianmeal moth), 469 nucleotides. RefSeq lists it as uncharacterized. The record is from RefSeq and is a predicted model, not a curated record. The transcript is spliced from 2 exons. NCBI's taxonomy places the organism in Eukaryota, Metazoa, Arthropoda, Insecta, Lepidoptera, Pyralidae.